RNAcentral lists this ribosomal RNA (506 nucleotides) under uncultured bacterium. RNAcentral's name for it is "partial 16S ribosomal RNA". It matches the Rfam family "Bacterial small subunit ribosomal RNA", at positions 29 to 523 of the family's 1533-position model. The record is from RNAcentral.
AUUGAACGCUGGCGGCAGGCCUAACACAUGCAAGUCGGACGGUAGCACAGAGGAGCUUGCUCCUUGGGUGACGAGUGGCGGACGGGUGAGUAAUGUCUGGGGAUCUGCCCGAUAGAGGGGGAUAACCACUGGAAACGGUGGCUAAUACCGCAUAACGUCGCAAGACCAAAGAGGGGGACCUUCGGGCCUCUCACUAUCGGAUGAACCCAGGUGGGAUUAGCUAGUAGGCGGGGUAAUGGCCCACCUAGGCGACGAUCCCUAGCUGGUCUGAGAGGAUGACCAGCCACACUGGAACUGAGACACGGUCCAGACUCCUACGGGAGGCAGCAGUGGGGAAUAUUGCACAAUGGGCGCAAGCCUGAUGCAGCCAUGCCGCGUGUAUGAAGAAGGCCUUCGGGUUGUAAAGUACUUUCAGCGGGGAGGAAGGCGGUGAGGUUAAUAACCUUGCCGAUUGACGUUACCCGCAGAAGAAGCACCGGCUAACUCCGUGCCAGCAGCCGCCGUAA